GACGAACGCUGGCGGCGUGCUUAACACAUGCAAGUCGAACGAGAUCCAAUGUGUAGCAAUACACAGGAAGAUCUAGUGGCGAACGGGUGAGGAACACGUGAGAAACGUACCCCCGACUUUGGGAUAACAGUCCGAAAGGACUGCUAAUACCAAAUAACGUCGGAAGUCCGCAUGGACAUCUGACGAAAGGGAUUCCGGUUUGGGAGCGUCUCGCGGACCUAUCAGCUAGUUGGAGGGGUAACGGCCCACCAAGGCAACGACGGGUAGCUGGUCUGAGAGGAUGGUCAGCCACACUGGGACUGAGACACGGCCCAGACUCCUACGGGAGGCAGCAGUGGGGAAUCUUGCGCAAUGGGCGAAAGCCUGACGCAGCAACGCCGCGUGCGGGAAGAAGGCUUUCGGGCUGUAAACCGCUUUCAGUAGGAACGAAACUGACGGUACCUACAGAAGAAGGAGCGGCCAACUAUGUG
Molecule: ribosomal RNA, 470 nt
Filed under: uncultured bacterium
Lineage: Bacteria
Description: partial 16S ribosomal RNA
Rfam family: Bacterial small subunit ribosomal RNA
Source: RNAcentral